UACGUAGGCAGCGAGCGUUGUUCGGAGUUACUGGGCGUAAAGGGUGCGUAGGCGGUUGUUUAAGUUUGGUGCGAAAUCUCCCGGCUCAACUGGGAGGGUGCGCCGAAUACUGAAUGACUAGAGUGCGGGAGAGGAGAGUGGAAUUCCUGGUGUAGCGGUGAAAUGCGUAGAUAUCAGGAGGAACACCGGUGGUGUAGACGGCUCUCUGGACCGUAACUGACGCUGAGGCACGAAAGCGUGGGGAGCGAACAGG
Molecule: ribosomal RNA, 253 nt
Filed under: uncultured bacterium
Lineage: Bacteria
Description: partial 16S ribosomal RNA
Rfam family: Bacterial small subunit ribosomal RNA
Source: RNAcentral